This 437-nucleotide ribosomal RNA is filed under the name uncultured bacterium. RNAcentral's name for it is "partial 16S ribosomal RNA". It matches the Rfam family "Bacterial small subunit ribosomal RNA", at positions 339 to 795 of the family's 1533-position model. The record is from RNAcentral.
CUACGGGUCGCUCCAGUGAGGAAUAUUGCACAAUGGGGGGAACCCUGAUGCAGCAACGCCGCGUGGAGGAUGACGCAUUUCGGUGUGUAAACUCCUUUUAUAUGUCAAGAAAAUGACGGUAUCAUAUGAAUAAGCACCGGCUAACUCCGUGCCAGCAGCCGCGGUAAUAGGAGGGUGCAAGCGUUACUCGGAAUCACUGGGCGUAAAGGACGCGUAGGCGGGUUGGAAAGUCAGGUGUGAAAUCCUACAGCUUAACUGUAGAACUGCACUUGAAACUUCUAAUCUAGAGUAUGGGAGGGGGAGAUGGAAUUAGUGGUGUAGGGGUAAAAUCCGUAGAUAUCACUAGGAAUACCUAAAGCGAAGGCGAUCUCCUGGAACAUUACUGACGCUAAGGCGUGAAAGCGUGGGGAGCAAACAGGAUUAGAUACCGUGUAGUC